RNAcentral lists this transfer RNA (66 nucleotides) under Aciculitermes maymyoensis. RNAcentral describes it as "tRNA-Phe". The record is from RNAcentral. Lineage: Eukaryota; Metazoa; Arthropoda; Insecta; Blattodea; Termitidae.
ACUUGAAUAGCUUAUUUUAGAGCGCGACACUGAAGAUGUCGAUGAGGUAUUAUUUAUCUUUAAGUG